Molecule: non-coding RNA, 189 nt
Rfam family: 6S / SsrS RNA
About the family: E. coli 6S RNA was the first non coding RNA to be sequenced, but its function was unknown until recently.
Source: Rfam
GCCGCUCUGGGUUACUCGUAGCGCAUCCCGUUGAGUCCCUGACUACCUUUCUUUGCCAAAAUGUUCCCGGUUUCAGACGUGGUGAGCAGGCCCUCCUACAGCAGAGGGAAGCCUGAAGCGUUUCACCGGGCGAUAUUGCGACUGAGGUCAGUAACUCGACACUUCCCGCAACGGUAUCCCGGAGCAACU